RNAcentral lists this ribosomal RNA (395 nucleotides) under Pycnococcus sp. RNAcentral describes it as "partial small subunit ribosomal RNA". It matches the Rfam family "Eukaryotic small subunit ribosomal RNA", at positions 582 to 975 of the family's 1831-position model. The record is from RNAcentral. Lineage: Eukaryota; Viridiplantae; Chlorophyta; Pseudoscourfieldiophyceae; Pseudoscourfieldiales; Pycnococcaceae.
AUUCCAGCUCCAAUAGCGUAUAUUAAAGUUGUUGCAGUUAAAAAGCUCGUAGUUGGAUUUCUGGUCUGAUGCCCUGGCCCGCGUCUUAUAGAUGUGUGUGCCGGCUGUGCGUCUGCCAUCCUUCUAGUAACCCUUCCUACCCUUCACUGGGCCGGGUUGGCGAUCUAGAUCUUUUACUCUGAAAAAAUUAGAGUGUUCAAAGCAAGCUAAAGCUCUGAAUACAUUAGCAUGGAAUAACGCGAGAGGACUCGGUCCUUAUUUUGUUGGUCUUCAAGGAUGGAGUAAUGAUUAAGAGGGACAGUUGGGGGCAUUCGUAUUUCAUUGCUAGAGGUGAAAUUCUUGGAUUUAUGAAAGACGAACUUCUGCGAAAGCAUUUGCCAAGGAUGUUUUCAUUA